Molecule: non-coding RNA, 1525 nt
Organism: Schizosaccharomyces pombe (fission yeast)
Lineage: Eukaryota; Fungi; Ascomycota; Schizosaccharomycetes; Schizosaccharomycetales; Schizosaccharomycetaceae
Source: the annotation of a GenBank genome assembly
UUAACUCUAACUCGGUCACCAUACGAUUAACGUCUGCAAGGAAACGAUUUCGUAGAAUGGGAUUAGUUGCUUCAUCGGCAUCCUUUCUACGUUUUUGAAUAGAAGACUCCAACUCUGAAAUAAACUCACGAACAAGUCUAUUUUGUCGUUUAUUUUCGCGAGUCUCAUCGUCAGCUUCAUUUUCCUCUUCUUCUUCUUCUUCCUCCUCUUCUUCUUCUUCACUAGCAGAUUCUUCACCUGCGGCACGAGGUUCUGCUGUUGACUCCCGAGUAUCUUGACUAAGCUCAAGCAUACCCUGUUCAAUCUGUCCAGCCAAAUCGUCCUCAUCCAUACCAUCAAACAUAUCAGUUUGCACGCUUUGGUCGUCCCGAUCGAUGCUGGUACCACGAAGUCCUGCCAUUCCAUCAAACGAUGUAUCCUCUGAAAGAGCGAUGCUUGAGUCACGAGCCAAUUGUGCUUGAUCAAUCAACUCAUUCGAUGUACUUUCAGCGCGUUCAUCCAUUGCAAGCAAUCGGUCAACCUCAUUUUCAACUGCUUCGAUUGUUCUGUUCGAAACACGUUUUCGAAAUCGCUUCUGCCGCACCCAAUGCAUUGGCGUCGUCAAUCCAUGUGGAUAAAUGUAAUCAGCUUGCUUUAACUGAGUAUUGAGAACAGAAUUUUCGUGCUCGAUUCUUUCUGUAGCUAUCAACAUUUGACAGAUGUCAGCAGCCUUGAAGAUAACUUUUUUGUCGAAUGAUUUAUUAGAUUCUAUGAUGCAUGGCAAAUCAACUAACUUCGCAGCGUACAAAUGACCAUUAACAUGAACAACCGCUCUUCUUUGAUCUAACUCUGUUAAUAAUAAUAUAGUGUAACCAAGUCAUUACCUUUGAACUUCACCCAUAUGUCUGCACCUCGUCCCACUUCCCUAUUUUCAAUUGCUUUUCGAACAUACUCACAAUCUUCACCAGGAGGAAGACGUAAUAUAAUUUGUUCUUCAAUAUAAGUGUCUUCUUCUCUGUCAGAAGCUUCUGAAUCAUAUCCUAAGCCAGGUUCGCGAACUCUUUUUAACCGAAUUUUUGUCAAUCGAGGGCCUUUAGGUUCACGUGUCUUGAUCUUAAUUUUAGGAAUUGGGGGAGGAGGACCAGUGGCUGGAGUGCUAGAUCGUGAAUCAUUUGGAGGAGGCUGAACAGCACGAAUUUUUAGCUUAACCAUUUUCGAAAACCGCCUUUUGAGUAAUUGUCGUUGGCAAACGCUCGAUUAGCAAGUCGCUAAACCUUCAAGUGAGUCUCGUUAUCUACUACUAACGAGCCAUAGUGAUUUACAACAUUUUUUUAAUACAAUCGUUAUCUGCAAACACCUGUCAGCUACGCAGUUUGGUAUCUAUUUAACGAUUCAUAGAACUGCGGUGAGUUUCUCUUGCGACCUACAGUAUAGCGGUAUGUGGUAUGUUUAACUAACAAUGUAUAUUUGUUACUAUAAGAAGUCCAUUAGUAUCGAUCACCGACAUAGCUAAACUACUGAACUGAGGAACAAGGUUCGGCAGUAG